RNAcentral lists this ribosomal RNA (251 nucleotides) under uncultured bacterium. Its description in RNAcentral is "partial 16S ribosomal RNA". It matches the Rfam family "Bacterial small subunit ribosomal RNA", at positions 524 to 776 of the family's 1533-position model. The record is from RNAcentral.
UACAUAGGGUGCAAGCGUUAAUCGGAAUUACUGGGCGUAAGGCGUGCGCAGGCGGUCGUGCAAGACAGAUGUGAAAUCCCGGGCUCAACCUGGGAACUGCAUUUGUGACUGCACGGCUGGAGUGCGGCAGAGGGGGAUGGAAUUCCGCGUGUAGCAGUGAAAUGCGUAGAUAUGCGGAGGAACACCGAUGGCGAAGGCAAUCCCUGGGCCUGCACUGACGCUCAUGCACGAAAGCGUGGGGAGCAAACCGG